RNAcentral lists this ribosomal RNA (404 nucleotides) under Actinomycetes bacterium. Its description in RNAcentral is "Actinobacteria bacterium partial 16S ribosomal RNA". It matches the Rfam family "Bacterial small subunit ribosomal RNA", at positions 355 to 776 of the family's 1533-position model. Lineage: Bacteria; Bacillati; Actinomycetota; Actinomycetes. The record is from RNAcentral.
UGGGGAAUAUUGGACAAUGGGCGCAAGCCUGAUCCAGCCAUGCCGCGUGAGUGAUGAAGGCCCUAGGGUUGUAAAGCUCUUUCACCGGUGAAGAUAAUGACGGUAACCGGAGAAGAAGCCCCGGCUAACUUCGUGCCAGCAGCCGCGGUAAUACGAAGGGGGCUAGCGUUGUUCGGAUUUACUGGGCGUAAAGCGCACGUAGGCGGACUUUUAAGUAAGGGGUGAAAUCCCGGGGCUCAACCCCGGAACUGCCUUUGAUACUGGAAGUCUUGAGUAUGGUAGAAGUGAGUGGAAUUCCGAGUGUAGAGGUGAAAUUCGUAGAUAUUCGGAGGAACACCAGUGGCGAAGGCGGCUCACUGGAACAUUACUGACGCUGAGGUGCGAAAGCGUGGGGAGCAAACAGG